GCCAGAGGGAGCUGUAGGGUGCCCAAGCUGAGGUGUGCCAGUGGGAAUGGACAGUGGAGGGAUUGCAGAAUUGUUUAGGGGUGAGGUUGACAGCAUUUGGUGGCUGGUUUGAUGAGCAGAGUGAAAGGAGGGUAGAGACAGUAGGGCUGGGGCUCCUGGGACAGUGGCAGAUCUGGAAAGAGUCGGGGGUAGAUAGCCUUGCGUUUAAGUUAGGGGUGCCUGUGAGGGGAGGAAUGACUUCUACGGGGAUGUUCAGGGCAGCUGGAUAUGUUGGUGUGGGAGUCAGGAGAGAAAGCUGGGCUGGAGUUAGAGACUUGGGAACCAUACAUGUGGAGACUGGGCUUAAAGCCCUGGUAGGGGAGGAGAGGAGAACAGGGCCCGGCCAGGCCCUGAGGACCCCAGCCGCGGUGGUCUGAGCAAAGCAAGAAGAGGUGUCGGGAACAAGCGCUGGAGAGGGAAGAUCUGCAGCUUCACUCCUGAGACCACGAGCCCACUGGAAAGAACAAACAACUCCCGAAGUGCUACCUUAUAGAGCUAUAACACUCACCGCGAAGGUCUGCAGCUUCACUCCUGAGCCAGGGAGACCACAAACCCACCAGAAGGAAAAAACUCCGAAUACAUCUGAACAUCAGGAGGGACAGACUCCAGACGGGCCACCUGAAAAGCUGUAACACUCACCGUGAGGGUCCGGGGCUUCAUUCUUGAAGUUAGUGAGACCAAGAACCCACCAAUUCGGGACACACUUGGACCAUCCGCUUCCCAGGAAGCGUCAGCCCUGGGGUGCCCAUGCCCAGAAGCCCACUCCAGCCCUGAUAGUCGCCUCCCAGCUGAGCCAGGAACCUGGGGCUGAGCUCCAUCCUCAACCUUAAAAACUUGUCAUCUCACCUGUCCCGAGGAUGUGCGGUACCUGCCCUACUUCUACCAUCCUCACCCUACUCUUUUCCUGGGCUAGCGUUAUGAUGUCUAAACCUAUCUAUCAUCCCGUUCUGUGCUCUGUAUAUUCAUUUUCCACAUAACGUAAAAUGUAGGUCUGGCUAAGCCCCCUCCACAUGGACAACGUGGGCCCUACUCUCCACAGACUCCAGCCACCUGCGACCCCUUCUGCCUCAUGCUACGUGUGAUCACAGCCUUUUCUCCUGUUGCUAUCCUGACCGAGAUGCUCCUCUAACAAGCUUGUCCACCCUUUCACACCCCUCAGCACACGCCCUGGCUUCAUAUGGCCGCCUGGUACCCUCCCUGCCGUUUCUGCCCAGAUCUGUUCUGUGCCCAGCAGGUGUUAUUGGCUUCAUCUACUUGCAGGUCUGUCCUUACUAACUGGAACACCCCCGAGGGCAGGAACGGUUUACCCCAGCAUGGAGCACAGUUCCGGGGCCCUAGGAGGAGCUCAGAGGACCUGUGGGAAAUGUUCCCAUGGGCAAUGACUCCCUGAAUGUAACGUCGUAUGUCACCUUGGAGGGAAAGACCCCAUAAAAACCUAAUCAUAUUCAAGGGAAAGGAGCUUGGCUUUCCUGGGUACAGCCUAAUGGUGUUGGUGACUGGGGUAGGAAGGGGACUCAGGAGCAGGCCCUCGCCUAUGGGGGUUUCCAG
RNAcentral lists this long non-coding RNA (1587 nucleotides) under Homo sapiens (human). RNAcentral's name for it is "HSALNT0380918". The record is from RNAcentral. Lineage: Eukaryota; Metazoa; Chordata; Mammalia; Primates; Hominidae.